RNAcentral lists this ribosomal RNA (585 nucleotides) under uncultured bacterium. RNAcentral's name for it is "partial 16S ribosomal RNA". It matches the Rfam family "Bacterial small subunit ribosomal RNA", at positions 355 to 1375 of the family's 1533-position model. The record is from RNAcentral.
UGGGGAAUUUUGGACAAUGGGCGAAAGCCUGAUCCAGCAAUGCCGCGUGUGUGAAGAAGGCCUUCGGGUUGUAAAGCACUUUUGUCCGGAAAGAAAUCCUCUGGGUUAAUACCUCGGGGGGAUGACGGUACCGGAAGAAUAAGCACCGGCUAACUACGUGCCAGCAGCCGCGGUAAUACGUAGGAUGCAAGCGUUAAUCGGAAUUACUGGGCGUAAAGCGUGCGCAGGCGGUUUUGUAAGACGGAUGUGAAAUCCCCGGGCUUAACCUGGGAACUGCAUUCGUGACUGCAAGGCUAGAGUAUGGCAGAGGGGGGUAGAAUUCCACGUGUAGCAGUGAAAUGCGUAGAGAUGUGGAGGAAUACCGAUGGCGAAGGCAGCCCCCUGGGCCAAAUACUGACGCUCAUGCACGAAAGCGUGGGGAGCAAACAGGAUUAGAUACCCUGGUAGUCCACGCCCUAAACGAUGUCAACUAGUUGUUGGGGAUUCAUUUCCUAGUAACGUAGCUAACGCGUGAAGUUGACCGCCUGGGGAGUACGGUCGCAAGAUUAAAACUCAAAGGAAUUGACGGGGUCAUAGCUGUUUCCU